Molecule: ribosomal RNA, 496 nt
Filed under: uncultured bacterium
Lineage: Bacteria
Description: partial 16S ribosomal RNA
Rfam family: Bacterial small subunit ribosomal RNA
Source: RNAcentral
GAUGAACGCUGGCGGCGUGCCUAAUACAUGCAAGUCGAGCGAACAGACGAGGAGCUUGCUCCUCUGACGUUAGCGGCGGACGGGUGAGUAACACGUGGAUAACCUACCUAUAAGACUGGGAUAACUUCGGGAAACCGGAGCUAAUACCGGAUAAUAUAUUGAACCGCAUGGUUCAAUAGUGAAAGACGGUUUUGCUGUCACUUAUAGAUGGAUCCGCGCCGCAUUAGCUAGUUGGUAAGGUAACGGCUUACCAAGGCAACGAUGCGUAGCCGACCUGAGAGGGUGAUCGGCCACACUGGAACUGAGACACGGUCCAGACUCCUACGGGAGGCAGCAGUAGGGAAUCUUCCGCAAUGGGCGAAAGCCUGACGGAGCAACGCCGCGUGAGUGAUGAAGGUCUUCGGAUCGUAAAACUCUGUUAUUAGGGAAGAUCAAAUGUGUAAGUAACUAUGCACGUCUUGACGGUACCUAAUCAGAAAGCCACGGCUAACUACGU